This 681-nucleotide ribosomal RNA is filed under the name Lactobacillus delbrueckii subsp. bulgaricus. Its description in RNAcentral is "bacterial SSU rRNA". It matches the Rfam family "Bacterial small subunit ribosomal RNA", at positions 91 to 758 of the family's 1533-position model. The record is from RNAcentral. Lineage: Bacteria; Bacillati; Bacillota; Bacilli; Lactobacillales; Lactobacillaceae.
GCUAGCGGCGGAUGGGUGAGUAACACGUGGGCAAUCUGCCCUAAAGACUGGGAUACCACUUGGAAACAGGUGCUAAUACCGGAUAACAACAUGAAUCGCAUGAUUCAAGUUUGAAAGGCGGCGUAAGCUGUCACUUUAGGAUGAGCCCGCGGCGCAUUAGCUAGUUGGUGGGGUAAAGGCCUACCAAGGCAAUGAUGCGUAGCCGAGUUGAGAGACUGAUCGGCCACAUUGGGACUGAGACACGGCCCAAACUCCUACGGGAGGCAGCAGUAGGGAAUCUUCCACAAUGGACGCAAGUCUGAUGGAGCAACGCCGCGUGAGUGAAGAAGGUUUUCGGAUCGUAAAGCUCUGUUGUUGGUGAAGAAGGAUAGAGGCAGUAACUGGUCUUUAUUUGACGGUAAUCAACCAGAAAGUCACGGCUAACUACGUGCCAGCAGCCGCGGUAAUACGUAGGUGGCAAGCGUUGUCCGGAUUUAUUGGGCGUAAAGCGAGCGCAGGCGGAAUGAUAAGUCUGAUGUGAAAGCCCACGGCUCAACCGUGGAACUGCAUCGGAAACUGUCAUUCUUGAGUGCAGAAGAGGAGAGUGGAAUUCCAUGUGUAGCGGUGGAAUGCGUAGAUAUAUGGAAGAACACCAGUGGCGAAGGCGGCUCUCUGGUCUGCAACUGACGCUGAGGCUCGAAA